GCGCGAAAACUUUUCAAAUGCGGGAAACCGUGACAAGGGAACUCUGAGUGCCCGUUAAAUCGGGCUGUCCAUCGGUUUAAAUAACCGGUGAAGAAAGGGCCGGGCAAGACCGGUGCCAGCCGCCGCGGUAAUACCGGCGGCUCGAGUGGUGGCCACUAUUACUGGGCUUAAAGCGUUCGUAGCUGGUUUGUUAAGUCUCUGGGGAAAUCUUCCGGCUCAACCGGAAGGCGUCUCAGGGAUACUGGCAGACUAGGGACCGGGAGAGGUGAGAGGUACUCCAGGGGUAGGA
This 289-nucleotide ribosomal RNA is filed under the name uncultured archaeon. RNAcentral describes it as "partial 16S ribosomal RNA". It matches the Rfam family "Archaeal small subunit ribosomal RNA", at positions 339 to 631 of the family's 1478-position model. The record is from RNAcentral.